CUGUCCCCGAGAGGUGUCAGAGAUCCUGACCUCCGUCCUCCAGAAAUGACUUCUCAACACCGACGGCACAACUAGAAAGUACAAGGAAUCCUGAAGACUAUUAUGAUCCAUCCUGAAUCUCACGUUACAGGAAGUCAUCAUGUUUCCUUAGGCUUCUCUUGGCUGUGACAGUUUCUCAGGCUUUCCUUGUUUUUAAUGACUUCGAGAGUAUUGAGGACAGUCAAGGAUGACAGAAGAUAAGAGCCCUGUGCCAGCCCCGUGGAAGAAAGUGUCAGAGUUCAAGUUCAAGUUCUACUCCUGGAGCUUUGGACUUUGGGAUAUAUAUGUAAAUCCCCUUUCAAUAAAUACUUAAAAUGCUCUUCAAAAUUGCUGCACCAAAAUGCACUCCCACUAAAAUUUUCUAUUUUCAUACUGCCUUGCCCAAAUCUGUCCCUGACUUUCUAAACUCUUUGGAAUGAGGGAAUA
Choloepus didactylus (southern two-toed sloth) is the source of this 465-nucleotide long non-coding RNA. RefSeq lists it as uncharacterized. The transcript has 3 exons. NCBI's taxonomy places the organism in Eukaryota, Metazoa, Chordata, Mammalia, Pilosa, Megalonychidae. The record is from RefSeq and is a predicted model, not a curated record.